This 253-nucleotide ribosomal RNA is filed under the name uncultured bacterium. Its description in RNAcentral is "partial 16S ribosomal RNA". It matches the Rfam family "Bacterial small subunit ribosomal RNA", at positions 524 to 776 of the family's 1533-position model. The record is from RNAcentral.
UACGUAGGGGGCAAGCGUUGUCCGGAUUUACUGGGCGUAAAGGGCUCGUAGGUGGCCAACUAAGUCAGACGUGAAAUCCCUCAGCUUAACUGGGGAACUGCGUCUGAUACUGGAUGGCUUGAGUUUGGGAGAGGGAUGCGGAAUUCCAGGUGUAGCGGUGAAAUGCGUAGAUAUCUGGAGGAACACCGGUGGCGAAGGCGGCAUCCUGGACCAACACUGACACUGAGGAGCGAAAGCCAGGGGAGCAAACGGG